This 1372-nucleotide ribosomal RNA is filed under the name uncultured bacterium. RNAcentral describes it as "bacterial SSU rRNA". It matches the Rfam family "Bacterial small subunit ribosomal RNA", at positions 28 to 1381 of the family's 1533-position model. The record is from RNAcentral.
GAUGAACGCUGGCGGCGUGCCUAAUACAUGCAAGUCGAGCGAACGGACGAGAAGCUUGCUUCUCUGAUGUUAGCGGCGGACGGGUGAGUAACACGUGGAUAACCUACCUAUAAGACUGGGAUAACUUCGGGAAACCGGAGCUAAUACCGGAUAAUAUUUUGAACCGCAUGGUUCAAAAGUGAAAGACGGUCUUGCUGUCACUUAUAGAUGGAUCCGCGCUGCAUUAGCUAGUUGGUAAGGUAACGGCUUACCAAGGCAACGAUGCAUAGCCGACCUGAGAGGGUGAUCGGCCACACUGGAACUGAGACACGGUCCAGACUCCUACGGGAGGCAGCAGUAGGGAAUCUUCCGCAAUGGGCGAAAGCCUGACGGAGCAACGCCGCGUGAGUGAUGAAGGUCUUCGGAUCGUAAAACUCUGUUAUUAGGGAAGAACAUAUGUGUAAGUAACUGUGCACAUCUUGACGGUACCUAAUCAGAAAGCCACGGCUAACUACGUGCCAGCAGCCGCGGUAAUACGUAGGUGGCAAGCGUUAUCCGGAAUUAUUGGGCGUAAAGCGCGCGUAGGCGGUUUUUUAAGUCUGAUGUGAAAGCCCACGGCUCAACCGUGGAGGGUCAUUGGAAACUGGAAAACUUGAGUGCAGAAGAGGAAAGUGGAAUUCCAUGUGUAGCGGUGAAAUGCGCAGAGAUAUGGAGGAACACCAGUGGCGAAGGCGACUUUCUGGUCUGUAACUGACGCUGAUGUGCGAAAGCGUGGGGAUCAAACAGGAUUAGAUACCCUGGUAGUCCACGCCGUAAACGAUGAGUGCUAAGUGUUAGGGGGUUUCCGCCCCUUAGUGCUGCAGCUAACGCAUUAAGCACUCCGCCUGGGGAGUACGACCGCAAGGUUGAAACUCAAAGGAAUUGACGGGGACCCGCACAAGCGGUGGAGCAUGUGGUUUAAUUCGAAGCAACGCGAAGAACCUUACCAAAUCUUGACAUCCUUUGACAACUCUAGAGAUAGAGCCUUCCCCUUCGGGGGACAAAGUGACAGGUGGUGCAUGGUUGUCGUCAGCUCGUGUCGUGAGAUGUUGGGUUAAGUCCCGCGACGAGCGCAACCCUUAAGCUUAGUUGCCAUCAUUAAGUUGGGCACUCUAAGUUGACUGCCGGUGACAAACCGGAGGAAGGUGGGGAUGACGUCAAAUCAUCAUGCCCCUUAUGAUUUGGGCUACACACGUGCUACAAUGGACAAUACAAAGGGCAGCGAAACCGCGAGGUCAAGCAAAUCCCAUAAAGUUGUUCUCAGUUCGGAUUGUAGUCUGCAACUCGACUACAUGAAGCUGGAAUCGCUAGUAAUCGUAGAUCAGCAUGCUACGGUGAAUACGUUCCCGGGUCU